RNAcentral lists this long non-coding RNA (139 nucleotides) under Coturnix japonica (Japanese quail). Its description in RNAcentral is "lncRNA (ENSCJPG00005010098.1)". The record is from RNAcentral. Lineage: Eukaryota; Metazoa; Chordata; Aves; Galliformes; Phasianidae.
CAGUUCACUACCAAUACCCAGAUAUAAGAGCAUGACAGAAGAUAAAGCAGGGAGAAAUGAAGGUGGAAAAAAGGUCUCCCUGCUCUCCAACAAGUGAGCUUACCCAUCACACAAUGGCUUAAGAAUCACCUGUGGACAA